Long non-coding RNA from Myzus persicae (green peach aphid), 402 nucleotides. RefSeq lists it as uncharacterized. The record is from RefSeq and is a predicted model, not a curated record. The transcript is spliced from 2 exons. NCBI's taxonomy places the organism in Eukaryota, Metazoa, Arthropoda, Insecta, Hemiptera, Aphididae.
AAACAAACACAUAUAUACUAUAUACUUUAAUAAUAUAACAAUAUUGAUUUAAAUGUAAUAACUGUGUUUUUAUAUCGUUGCACUCUUUGUUUUCGUAACCCGUUGGCUGCUGUGUGAGUCAUUCAUGUCACCAAAACAAGCGGUCACACGUUUGUAUACAGUAUAUAAUAUAUUAUAUUACAGGUGCAAUACUUCCAGCUGUAUGAUGUAUACAUAGCUAUCGGAAACUAAGACGCGCUGAUAUGGAACUCGUGAUGGGAUGUUCGGAAUACGGGUAUACAACAGCAGUCGACUGCUCCACAGAAUCAAUUACGAUCGAGUUCACUUUACGUCUAGUGAUGGUUUCAAAAUAAAAAUCAAUUUUAUUCGGAUUCUGUUAUGAUAAUAUUAUUAUAUGCAUAU